AGGACGAACGCUGGCGGCGUGCCUAAUACAUGCAAGUCGAACGCGCUCCAUUCGGUAGCAAUACUGAUGAAGAGCGAGUGGCGAACGGGUGAGUAGCACGUGAGCAACCUGCCCCGAAGACUGGGACAACACCGGGAAACCGGUGCUAAUACCGGAUAUCCCUAUCGGACCGCAUGAUCCGAUAAGGAAAUGUUUUUCGCUUCGGGAGGGGCUCGCGGCCUAUCAGCUAGUUGGUGAGGUAACGGCUCACCAAGGCGUCGACGGGUAGC
This 269-nucleotide ribosomal RNA is filed under the name uncultured bacterium. RNAcentral describes it as "partial small subunit ribosomal RNA". It matches the Rfam family "Bacterial small subunit ribosomal RNA", at positions 26 to 287 of the family's 1533-position model. The record is from RNAcentral.